RNAcentral lists this ribosomal RNA (253 nucleotides) under uncultured bacterium. RNAcentral describes it as "partial 16S ribosomal RNA". It matches the Rfam family "Bacterial small subunit ribosomal RNA", at positions 524 to 776 of the family's 1533-position model. The record is from RNAcentral.
UACGUAGGUCCCGAGCGUUAUCCGGAUUUAUUGGGUUUAAAGGGAGCGUAGGUGGAUUGUUAAGUCAGUUGUGAAAGUUUGCGGCUCAACCGUAAAAUUGCAGUUGAAACUGGCAGUCUUGAGUACAGUAGAGGUGGGCGGAAUUCGUGGUGUAGCGGUGAAAUGCUUAGAUAUCACGAAGAACUCCGAUUGCGAAGGCAGCUCACUGGACUGCAACUGACACUGAGGCUCGAAAGUGUGGGUAUCAAACAGG